This is a long non-coding RNA of Rhinopithecus roxellana (golden snub-nosed monkey), 4296 nucleotides long. RefSeq lists it as uncharacterized. NCBI's taxonomy places the organism in Eukaryota, Metazoa, Chordata, Mammalia, Primates, Cercopithecidae. The transcript is spliced from 5 exons. The record is from RefSeq and is a predicted model, not a curated record.
AGAUGAAAUUUGAAAGGAAAUUAUCAUUAAGGUGUCAGAGACUACCUAUUUGAAAUCUCCAAUAUUUAAACCCUUAAACAUUUUUUUUCUUUUGAUUCCACAGGGCAGUUAACACUUUGGCUAAAGAGUCUUUGGGUCCUAAAUAGGCUUAAAUGUGUCACAAAAGCAUUUCGUGUUGAUUAAUCGAUGACCGAAGCCCUAUGGCUAUGUUUAACAUAGAUUCCGGAAUCAUUUUGCUUUCUAAAAACAGCUUGAGAUACAAUGUCAGCACCUGCUAAUAAAAAUAACUUAAUUUUUGCUUACCAAAAUGGUAUGUAGUAUUAUUAAGAGCUUAAAUAUUUAUAUCGUGUUCUAUUCUCAAUUAAUUCACUUGGGCUUUCAAACAUUUUUUUUUAUCUUUAAGAGCCCUUAUUUAAAACCUCUUAAUACCAACCAACCACAACCCAUGAUGCUUUUACUCCAUUAUAAAGGAAACUCUCAGAUUCCAUACAUAGUGUUUUGAAAGGAAUCCAAGAUCUUUACUGGGGACAUACUGUUAAAAAGACAUAAAAUUUAGUGGGAAAAGUGUAUCAUGGGGUCGGUACCGAGGGGAUUUUCCCAGCCUACAGAAGUGAAGACUAGCUUGGAGAAAAAAUAGCUCUCUGCUACAUAAUGCAUGUGGUCCCUCCUCCAAUGCAGAUGCACCCUCCAAACUGCCUCCUGUCACUUCCUUAAAUCAUGAAUACUGUAUGUGAAUAAUUGUUGCACAUGUAUGAUUAAAAUGUAUUAUGAGACAUUUUCUCUUACCACUUCCUCCCUCAAAGGUAGCCAAAAGCCCCCAUAAAGGCAAGCCCUACAUUUUAGGACUAGAUUGUUUAAGCCUCCCAAGUACAGGAACUCUAUUUCUGCUUUAUUUUUAACUCCCCACAGUGCCUGCUUCUAGAGAGCCUGAAGACAAUCUAUAUGCAAGAGACUUUGAGUAACAGCUAUGGCUCGCUAAGGGCAGGCAGCAGUGAUUAAUGCAUGUCCGGAAUUACUACUGACUUAACAGACUGUCUUCACCACCUUAAGUUUGUGUGUGAAGUUGGCUGUCCUUCCCACUGUUCAGCCAGGGCAAGUUUGUGCCUUAGGGGGCCAAUUCCCUUUGAGUUGCUAUUGAAUGAUCUAUGCCCCCAAGUUAGGCCAGGUUGGAAAGGGUAAGGUCAUAGUUGGGGGACUGCCUUUCCUCUACCAUGAGAAGAUAGAGCAACAAGAGCUCCUGGUCAAUUUACCCCACCCUCUGUUUCCCAGAAGCUAGCUGGGCUCUGGCUGAACUCUAGGGAUACAAGUCUAAACGGGGUAGGUUUUGGAACAUAGCCCUGAGCUGGGUCAUUCCUAGUGCAGGGAAACAUCAGAAUACCUUAGGACCCACACUGGAGAUAUUUUCAUUCUUUAAAUAAAGUGGCUGAGCAUCUGGGCGUGUAAAGUUAAAUCAAACACCAUAUAGCUUCAAAAACCUUAUAGCUUCUAGUCAAGGGACUUAGAUAGAAAUGAAGAGAUGAUCAGAGUACCAUGCGGUAAAGGCAUACUGGAGCUGACUGAAGGGAUGGGGACUGGUGAAGGACAAAGAUGUAGUUCGAGAAGGGACGCUGGGCUGAGUCUUGAGAGACUUCUGGCUUCAGCACCCAUAGGCAUUCCAGGCUGAGGGAGCAUGAAGCAAGAGAGAGCUUUGAGUAGCUGAAGAACUUCAAGCAGUUAAUUAUAGCUGGAAUGAAGAGUAACAGGUGAGAGGGUGAGAGAAUAGGCUGGAAAGCUGCAUGUAACCGGCCUGGUGUACUGAGCUAAGAAGUUGAAAUUCAUCCAGAAAGGGAGCUGAAUUCAGCUUUACAUAGGCAGGACAAAACCAGCCUUGUAGUUAUGGCAAGGCAUGGGGUUAGGUUCUCUUGGCUUUGGGCCUCCAGCUGUAUGUUGAAUUUGCACAGGGGUAUGCACUAGGUUACCCUAGUCUGGUCCCUCAGUGCACUGGAUUUCACUUUGUUCAGUGCUUCUUGGUGUGGGAAUCAUGUCUCCAGCUCUCUCUGUAUGUGUUCACCCUGUGCCUGCUCAGUGCUGUUCUGGGAAUGGACACCCUGAGCAUAGGGGUCAACAAAGGAGUGGAGUUAGUGCUCAGUUCAGUUGGAAGGUGACCAAAUACGAAUGCUGGGUGUGGCAAAUUAAUUUUCAUUGUUAUCACUCCAUAAGCGAAGGAAAUGUAGCCCUUGUUAUUUUCCAACAUAGUCUCCAAUAGAAACAGUUGUUUGUGACACUGAAUUAGUCUGUUAAAAAAUUCAUCACCUGAAAAAUUGCAUCAUGUAUUACUUUAAAAGUAAUGACUGUAGUAGGCAGAAAAGUGCCGACUCCGCCCACCCAGAAAUGUCCAUGUCCUCAUCCCUCGAACCUCACGGAGCAAGAGAGACAUUGCAGUUGUCAAUAAACUCAGGAUCUUGAGAUAGGGAGCUAGUCCUGGGUGGUCUGUGUGGUCCCAGGGUGCUUACAAGGUUCCUUAAAAGUAAAAGAGGGAGGCAGGGUCAGAGUGGUUCAAAGAAACCCUCAAGGUUAUUGUUGGUUUUGAAGCCUGAAGAGGGCCACCAGCCAAGGGAUGCAGGUGGCCUCUAGAAGCUGGAAAAGACAAGGAGAGGGAUUCUCCCCAAGACUCCAAGAAGAACACAGCCCUCCUGACACCUCGAUUUUAGAACAAAUGCUUGGGCCGAAAUGUCCUGAACAAGGAAUGAUCUGCAGCAGGGGAUGGACCCAGUACAGCAGGAAUAUUACAGCGAAUGAGUCUUCUUUGGUGGUCCAGCGACACCAGCCCUUAUACUUCACAGCGUGAGUGAUAUAAACAUCAAGGCCAGGUGCAGUGGCUCACACCUGUAAUCCCAGCACUUUGGGAGGAGUGAAGUGGAGGAAGAGGUACGUUCAACUACAGAGGAGGAAACUGAGGCCCAGAGGGGAAAAGUGACUUGAUUGACAAAAAUUGGAUUCUGGUCUUUGUUCUGCCAAAGGGAAAUAACUUCCAUGUCUGUUCUUACCCAUCAGGAUUAUUGGGAGGAAAAAUAUACAACACCGUAAAUGAAAGCCAUUUUGAAAACCUUAUACCACUCCCCGGAUGCUGGGGAUCAGCUGCACAUGUAAGAGGUGCCCCGUGGACACUAUUGACUUACUGCUCUGGGAAGUCUACAGGUUGUGGGAAACAGUCUUAAGUUCUGAAAAAGGAAAUUACACUGGCUCUAAUCAAUAGCUAGGAUCCCUUCUGAGAUGCCCCUUCCCCGUGGCAUCAUGGAGGCGGGAGAAGGGCCAGGCUAUAUUUCAAAGCCCCCCUCCUUCUCUUCCCUCUUUUUCCCUAGGCUGCCAGAAUCUUAGAUUGUAGUGCAAGAACAACCAUAUUGCUGGAAGUGAAAUUUGCAGUCUGCUCUAUCAGAUGGUUUCUGCGCAUGGUCUGUUACUAUGUUCAAAGCAUUAAACUGCCUGAAAGUGGAUUAUUUACAGAGCUUCUCUCUUCCCAGAGCUGCUGAUAGGUGGCAACUCAGCCUCUUCACCCUAAUGCACACUUUCUCACUUUCCACCGAGACUUUUUGUUUGCUGACAGCAUCUGGCUAUCCUGGGUACUUGCCUCAGCUGGCACAGUUCUCUCCAAUCCCUAGAAGAAACAGCCUUCACCUACACACCAGGGAUGAAAUAAGAUUUCAGCUCAAAGCUAGCAACCUUUCUCUGAAAUGGUGUCACACCCAGACAGAAAAAUAAAUGUGCGUUUCUUCUUAGAUGAUGAGAAGUCAGUCUUUCAGGCAGACUUUUCACACAGGGAGGAUCAAGGUUUGACUGCCUUUGAUUUGCAGAAAAAACAGCACCUAAUUGGACAAAGGAAGAAAGGAACCAGCUGCUACUGUCAUCAUUAUUUAAACACCCAUCCACAGUCAAAAACACUGCAUUGUUUCAUUACAAGUGAAAUUUGAUUGCCAGUACAUUUCCUGCUGGCCUCCCCUCUAUGCAAAUUGGGGAGAAGAAAGAAAUUCAUAAGGCAUCAGAACCCAUUUGGCUUCUAAAUGUACUGUUUGCAUAUAGACAUCAGCAGCCUGAAUAAAUCCUAGCAAGGAAUGUCAAACAAACAACACUGGCUAUUUUUCUAUUGUUCUCCCUGAAAACAUCGUUUUUAACAUAUUCACAAAGGCAAGCUGGAUUCUGUUUUACCAGUGUUUUAGUAGAAGACAAGUGCAUGGUGGUUCAGUUGUGGGUAUUGGACAUUAACGAAAACUAUUCUGGGAGAGUUCAGUUUAUAAAAGAUUAAAAUAAUUCAUCAACUUG